GUUUAGGUUAUAGAAGACCGUACCGUAAUCCGACACAGGUAGGUGGGAUGAGAAAUCUAAGGCGCUCGAGAGAACUCGCGUUAAGGAACUCGGCAAAAUGCACACGUAACUUCGGAAGAAGUGUGGCCCCUGUUUGGUUAAAGAGUGGGGGUGGCACAGAGCAGGCCCAGGCGACUGUUUAUCAAAAACACAGCCAUCUGCGAAUCAGCAAUGAGACGUAUAGGUGGUGACACCUGCCCGGUGCUGGAAGGUUAAGAGGAGCGGUUCGAGGUAACUCAAAGCUGUGAAUCGAAGCCCCAGUAAACGGCGGCCGUAACUAUAACGGUCCUAAGGUAGCGAAAUUCCUUGUCGGGUAAGUUCCGACCCGCACGAAUGGUGUAACGAUUCUGGGCACUGUCUCAACGCGAGACUCGGUGAAAUUUAUAUACCGGUAAAGAAGCCGGUUACCCACAGUUAGACGGAAAGACCCCGUGAACCUUCACCGUAACUUAUUAUUGGAUCUUGGUGUAGCAUGUGUAGCAUAGGUGGGAGACUACGAGACGUGGCCGUUAGGUUGCGUGGAGUCGACCAGUGAAAUACCACCCUUGCUACAUCAGGUUUCUAACCUAAUCCGUGAAUCCGGGUUGGGGACAAUGAUAGGUGGGCGGUUUGACUGGGGCGGUCGCCUCCUAAAGAGUAACGGAGGUGCGCGAAGGUCUCCUCGCGCUGGUUGGAAAUCAGCGUACGAGUGUAAAGGCACAAGGAGGCUUGACUGCGAGACUGACAGGUCGAGCAGGUACGAAAGUAGGUCUUAGUGAUCUGGCGGUAGCGAGUGGAAGCGCCGUCACUUAACGGACAAAAGGUACUCCGGGGAUAACAGGCUGAUUUUCCCCAAGAGUUCACAUCGACGGGAAAGUUUGGCACCUCGAUGUCGGCUCAUCGCAUCCUGGGGCUGAAGCAGGUCCUAAGGGUUUGGCUGUUCGCCAAUUAAAGCGGUACGUGAGCUGGGUUCAGAACGUCGCGAGACAGUUCGAUCCCUAUCUGCUGUGGGCGUUGGAUGAUUGAGAGGAGCUGCAUUUAGUACGAGAGGACCGAUGUGGACGAACCUCUGGUGUACCUGUUGUUCUGCCAAGAGCAAGUGCAGGGUAGCUAAGUUCGGAAGGGAUAACCGCUGAAGGCAUCUAAGUGGGAAGCCCACCUCAAGAUAAAUCAUCCCUGGGGGUUCGACCCCCCUAAAGACUCCAGAGAGACUAUCUGGUUGAUAGGCUGCAGGUCUACGCACGGUAACGUGUUCAGCCGAGCAGUACUAAUAGGUCGUGAGGCUUGACCGU
RNAcentral lists this ribosomal RNA (1310 nucleotides) under metagenome. RNAcentral's name for it is "bacterial LSU rRNA". It matches the Rfam family "Bacterial large subunit ribosomal RNA", at positions 1625 to 2925 of the family's 2925-position model. The record is from RNAcentral.